This 430-nucleotide ribosomal RNA is filed under the name uncultured bacterium. RNAcentral describes it as "bacterial SSU rRNA". It matches the Rfam family "Bacterial small subunit ribosomal RNA", at positions 355 to 776 of the family's 1533-position model. The record is from RNAcentral.
UGGGGAAUAUUGGACAAUGGGGGCAACCCUGAUCCAGCAAUGCCGCGUGUGUGAAGAAGGCCUGAGGGUUGUAAAGCACUUUUGUAGAGGAGGAUGGUGAGCUAGGUUAAGAGCUAGGUUCAUUGACGUUACUCUAAGAAUAAGCACCGGCUAACUCCGUGCCAGCAGCCGCGGUAAUACGGAGGGUGCAAGCGUUAAUCGGAAUUACUGGGCGUAAAGGGUGCGUAGGCGGUUAAGUAAGUUAUCUGUGAAAUCCCUGGGCUUAACCUAGGUAGGAAAGAUAAUACUGUUUAACUAGAGUGUGAUAGAGGAUAGUGGAAUUUCCGGUGUAGCGGUGAAAUGCGUAGAGAUCGGAAGGAACACCAGUGGCGAAGGCGGCUAUCUGGAUCAACACUGACGCUGAGGCACGAAAGCGUGGGGAGCAAACAGG